This 253-nucleotide ribosomal RNA is filed under the name uncultured bacterium. Its description in RNAcentral is "partial 16S ribosomal RNA". It matches the Rfam family "Bacterial small subunit ribosomal RNA", at positions 524 to 776 of the family's 1533-position model. The record is from RNAcentral.
CACGGGGGGAGCAAGCGUUGUUCGGAAUCACUGGGCGUAAAGGGUGUCUAGGCGGUUGAGUAAGUGAGAUGUGAAAUGCCCCGGCUCACCCGGGGACCUGCAUCUCAUACUGCUCAGCUCGAGUAUGGGAGAGGAUGAGGGAAUUCCUGGUGUAGCGGUGAAAUGCGUAGAUAUCAGGAGGAACACCGGUGGCGAAAGCGCUCAUCUGGCCCAAUACUGACGCUGAAGCACGAAAGCUAGGGGAGCAAACGGG